RNAcentral lists this small RNA (2236 nucleotides) under Oryza sativa Japonica Group (Japanese rice). Its description in RNAcentral is "sRNA Os04g0629850". The record is from RNAcentral. Lineage: Eukaryota; Viridiplantae; Streptophyta; Magnoliopsida; Poales; Poaceae.
CAUAGCUCAGCCUGGAAUCGAAGGACCGGGCUUGUGUGUGCCGUCUUGGUAUUCCGAUCUCGCAAGCAUUUACCCUUGAAGCGAACCUCAGUGAACAAAUCGUCUCCCCAACGGAUGAUGCCUCCGGAGAAAUGUUGACAAACAUCAGCGUUUUGGAAUCACCUCCAAGGCAAGGCUGCAAUAGAAAGUAUGUAAGUUUUGAGUUCCUGAAGGGCACAUGAUCGUCUCCUUUCGCAAUUGCAAAGAUAACAUCGCUAAGAGCUGACAAGCUUUUAUUGAUUGCCUGAGUUUCCUUCAAACGAUCACCCGUGGAGCCACUUUUAGCAAGGCGUUCACUGCCAGCUAAAUCAAUCAAGUUAAGGACACCUUGGACUUGUUGCCCAGUUACCUCAUUUGAUCCAGAUAUCUUCAGUGUGAAAACAAAAUGGCUCCGGGAAGAUUGUUCAUUCAUUUGGCGUAUUUACCUGCUUUGGGAUGCUUUCGCUAGAAGAGAAGUUACGUCGGCGCUACUAAAAACAUCAGCAACAGUAAGGUCAGUGACGGUUGUGUUCCCUUGUGGAUCAUGCUUUAUGGUGUAUUGUUUACUGGUAGACAGAUCAAAGUUAUUAGACCGACCAGGUGCUAACAAAUCACGAAUUGUCUCAUUGUAUAUUUCCAACAUUGAUGCCUGCACAUAUACUUCCAUCCUUGAGAUUCAAGAGACUGACUUGUCUUAAAAAUUUGCUCCAAAGAACGAGGUAUGAUGCCUUUCUGAUCACGCCCUGGUGGACCCAUCAUUGUAUAAGUUUUACCAGACCCUGUUUGACCAUAAGCAAAUAUGCAUACCUUGUACCCAUCAAGUGCACUUUGAACUAGUUGUGACAUUUCCACAAACACAUCUUCUUGUGAAGCACCGUGAUCGAAAACUUUCUUCAACAAUGAAUAUGAUUUUACCUUGGUUCAUCAAAUCAAUACCACGCCCGGCAGAUUCAACUGAUGUUGGAUAUGAAAUAAGGGCUUCUUCUGCACCACUAGAAUCGUUGUCUUGCAAAAAAGUGCUAGUAUGCUGAAACAAUUACCAAUAUUGUAUUGUGCAGUUUCUUUCGUAGCUUGUCAGCUUCAACAAUUUGAAAUUCUGCGGAUGCCAAACGUUCUUCCAGAUCUUUUAUUAUCACCUUUUGUUCUUCAUAUCCUGUCAUCGCCUCAAUUGCAGUAACAUCAGCAAGCUGCAAAAAAGCAUAAUGGUGAGCCAAAUAGUUGCGCACAGAAAGUAUUGAUUUGGUUAAUCUGAAACCACUAACCUCAAAGGCUGACACUUUUACACUCAAGCUUUCACAGUCUUUUGUAGACUUGCCUGCUAGUUCCUUGUAAUUAGCAAGCUCAGCACUCAAGGUAUUUACUUGAGAAACAGACUGAUCACGGUCUUCUCUAAUUUGGUGUAGCUCAAUUCUAAGGCAAUCCACUUCUUUCAUAAGUUGUUCUUUCAUUCUAAUGGCCUCUUGUUGAGAAAAGAAUCCAAAUGGUUCUUCAUUGAAUUGUUUAAAUCUUUCAGAGAAGCCAUUGUUUCCAUCAUGGCACUCUUCUCUUUUUGCAGUUUUGAGAUGAUGUCCCCACUCUUAGAGGCAUCAGCUUGAAGAUUACUGUUGUAUUGCUGCAAGCUGGUGUUGUACUCCUGCAGUCUUUUGUUCGUGUCUUGGACCAUUUUCAGCUAGACUCCACAGCAAGCUGCCAGUUUAAAGGUCAACAAGUGUAAGCCGUGGCUGAAACCAAUCACACAGGCACACAGCAACAGUACAUAACUAUGCAGCUUAUUAUGCGAUAGAUGAGUUCUAACCAUCCUGUCGGCCUUCUCCUUGUUGAAGCUUUCCUCCAACGAAUCGCACUGCCGCGUCAAGUUCAGGUGUGCAGCUUUCAGCUCUUCCAGAUCACUGCUAAGCUGGGCCUCUGGAAAGUACCAUCUUGUUCUCUUGGUGUGAUCAAAUAAAUACAAAAAAAAGAGAAGUGCAUUCGAAUUCAUUACCCAACUUGGCGUGCUGGGCAUUCUCUGCAUCCAUCGUACUACGGAGCUUCUCCUGCUCGACCAAGUAGCCGUCCUCCAACUCAAUGUACCAGCGGAUGCAAGCUCUCAGCUUCUUGAUGUACUCACUCAUCUGCUCAAACCCACCUUGUAGUCGGUCUUGCUCUUCCCCUUCAUCUUCUCGGCGAGCAGCCGCUCCACAUCCUCCCUCCCGGUGAACUCGAUCACAGGCGCCGCCGG